UACAGAGGGGGCAAGCGUUAUUCGGAAUUAUUGGGCGUAAAGGGCGCGUAGGCGGCCUGGCAAGUGGAAGGUGAAAUCCCUCGGCUUAACCGAGGAACUGCCCUCCAAACUGCUUGGCUUGAGUCCGGGAGAGGUGAGUGGAAUUCCCAGUGUAGCGGUGAAAUGCUUAGAUAUGACAUAGAACACCAAUUGCGAAGGCAGCUUACUACCCGAAUAUUGACACUGAGGCACGAAAGCGUGGGGAUCAAAUAGG
Molecule: ribosomal RNA, 253 nt
Filed under: uncultured bacterium
Lineage: Bacteria
Description: partial 16S ribosomal RNA
Rfam family: Bacterial small subunit ribosomal RNA
Source: RNAcentral